RNAcentral lists this ribosomal RNA (253 nucleotides) under uncultured bacterium. RNAcentral's name for it is "partial 16S ribosomal RNA". It matches the Rfam family "Bacterial small subunit ribosomal RNA", at positions 524 to 776 of the family's 1533-position model. The record is from RNAcentral.
UACGUAGGGUGCGAGCGUUGCCCGGAUUUAUUGGGCGUAAAGGGCGCGUAGGCGGCCACGCACGUCCGUUGUGAAAUCGCCCGGCUCAACUGGGCGGGGGCAGCGGAUACGGUGUGGCUCGAGCAAGCUAGGGGGCAAUGGAAUUCCCGGUGUAGUGGUGGAAUGCGUAGAUAUCGGGAGGAACACCAGUGGCGAAGGCGGUUGCCUGGAGCUUUGCUGACGCUGAGGCGCGAAAGCGUGGGGAGCGAUCCGG